Long non-coding RNA from Mus pahari (shrew mouse), 873 nucleotides. RefSeq lists it as uncharacterized. The transcript is spliced from 4 exons. NCBI's taxonomy places the organism in Eukaryota, Metazoa, Chordata, Mammalia, Rodentia, Muridae. The record is from RefSeq and is a predicted model, not a curated record.
CAGAGCAGGUGAAGCCGACUCUGUCCUGACCGUCUCAUCGCACCUGACUGAAGAGAUGUUACAAAACAAAAAGCAAAACCUUAUACCCCGAACAUCCGCUGUCAGCAGGCACGAGACUGUGAUUCAAGAUGAGCGGCCGAAGCAUCCCCUGCGUGUGUGAAGAAGAUCCAGCAAGAGGAGGAAGCAGGGUUCCUGAAAGCCAGGCUGACGACGAAAAAUCCUGUGCUGAGUUAACGUGGGUGUCUGAAUGGGCAGAAUCGGUGUAUGAACAGGCCGCCCCACCCCCACCCUGGCAGGGAUACACUGUGAGGUCAAAGCUGGACCCUGUGUCUGUCUUCAGGACACGAACCAAUUUAAAAAGAAAUCAUUCACUUAAAAAGACUUUUUAAAUCAGCUUCCACUGGUGCAGACUGACUGGUUAAUAUCAUGUCAACUUAACGUAUUCUGAAAAUAAGGGUUACUAACUUUCACAGACAACCAGUGGGCUCAGGGAGCCAUGAAGCUGUCUCGGGAAUGCAUACAAGACACAUAUAGAUGAAGCUGGACGCUUGUCAGACGUGUGAACUAAGUCCCUGUAACCAAGGGAGGAAGUGAUCACAUCACCUCAUUGGCUCUGCAGAUCUAAGUCAACUCAAAAAAGGCAAGCAUGGCCCAGAGAGGAGCCUUCACUAACCUUGAGUGGGAGAGAACCAGCCAGGGCCUCUGAGGCACAUGGAAAUACUUGUCUGAAGGAGUUGGCUCUUAGAAGUCACAGCACAGAUGCCUGAAGCAGAAGGAGAAGCACCUGUAGUGGCUGUCACCCUGCAGGCACCUCUGUUACUGGAGUCGCCAAGAGACAGUAUUACAGAAGCCUUGGAAGUGAGAGUGCUCCCC